Molecule: ribosomal RNA, 253 nt
Filed under: uncultured bacterium
Lineage: Bacteria
Description: partial 16S ribosomal RNA
Rfam family: Bacterial small subunit ribosomal RNA
Source: RNAcentral
UACGGAGGGUGCAAGCGUUAUCCGGAUUUACUGGGUUUAAAGGGUGUGUAGGCGGGCUGUUAAGUCAGAGGUGAAAUCUCCGGGCUCAACCCGGAAACUGCCUUUGAUACUAUCAGUCUUGAAUCUUGUUGAGGUGGGCGGAAUAUGUCAUGUAGCGGUGAAAUGCUUAGAUAUGACAUAGAACACCGAUUGCGAAGGCAGCUCACUAAACAAGCAUUGACGCUGAGGCACGAAAGCGUGGGGAUCAAACAGG